This is a long non-coding RNA of Aquila chrysaetos chrysaetos, 7569 nucleotides long. RefSeq lists it as uncharacterized. The record is from RefSeq and is a predicted model, not a curated record. The transcript has 5 exons. Lineage: Eukaryota; Metazoa; Chordata; Aves; Accipitriformes; Accipitridae.
CAGCUUGCCAGCCAGCGACAAGUCUCUCUAGACCAUGGCCUGCCUUUUCUUUCCCUCCCAGUGUAGCUGAACCACUGGCUACAGUUGUUACUGGGCAUGCAGGCCAGCUCUGCUGGGCAAGUCCUGGCAGCAUCCCGCUAGCCAAACUGAGGAAGUCUUUUCUCAGCACACUACCGCUGGAGCCAGCCCGAUCCCUCUCCGAAUGCUGCCAAAAUGGACCGAUGUCCUCGAUUCCUAACCCUGCUGACCAGAGCACUGGUUAAUGGACCUCUCCUGUAUCUCUCUGCCAUGCCAGCUCACCUGGAAACACACCGGCCGCCUCUUGGAUUGCCCCUUGCUCACUCUUAAUAGCAUCUAGCUGCAAUUAACUGAUCCAGGCAGCGCACGGGGCACAGAGAGGAGCAGUUCCACCUGCAGGAGGUUUGACAAGGGUUCAGCGAGAGCCGGCUGGGAUUCUCCUGAAGAACCAUUGUUCCAUCUUUCUAGAAAUAGCUCUGCUUCUCGCAUCCUGGAGCCGUUCAGCCUGUUUGGCACUGUUUCUGCUGCUUCAGAGACAACAACAGAGAGUGAGAAAAACCUGUCUAGACACCAUUUACCUUCCAUGGACUCCCAUUGCCACAUCAAAGCACCACUUCAAAGAAACCUGCAAACUGGCCAAGUAAUAAUCCCCAGCUCUCCUGUACCUGCUCCAGCUAGAGGCAGUCAGACCCAUCCCAUUGUGCUUCAGAGUUCAUCUUUAAUCCAGGCCCUUCUGACAACAGGAAGAGAGGUAGGAUGAAAAUUCUCAUUACAGGAACAUCAACAGAAGCUACCUGGCCUCAGGCUACUCAAGUGGGGGCUAUGUCCUUUCUGCUCGGCAUCCAGGAACAGGCAGAAAUCUCACCUGCCUCCUAUCAGCGAUCUACAAACCUCCAGCUCCUUUCAAAAGCAGGCAUACAAGGCACUCCUCUCAGCAGUCCCACUUGUCCCACCUGCUCAGAUGCUGGAUCCCUUGCCUUGCCAAAGCCAUGCACGUGAAUGCCGAGCAAGCUUUGCUACAACCCAGAGAUCAAAGAAUAUCUUCCUAUGGCACCCAAGGAAAUGGAGGUCACCGACAGCUACAAGCAGCCUGUCCACCGUGAGGCAGCAAGUCACUAUCAGAGCGGGACAAAGUCACAGGAGCUCGGGUAAAUGCUCAAGAUAAACUGAAACCAAGGGAGCUGGAGAGGUUUUUAGGUGACUUGAGCACCAGUUACUUGAAGUCACUGCUUUGGGGAAGCACCUGGCACUAACAUCAAGCACUGACCCUAUGCAGCCACCACAAGAGCAACAUCUAGCUCAUUAUUUUAAUAAGGGUCCUUUGAAAUACCUUCUGUGUAAGAGACAGCUAAGAAAAUCCAGUCUGGCUUUAUUCUGUCUCCGGCAGAAACAGCCUUUAUUUAGCAAACUGCUGCUAACAGCUCUGUCUCAUUAGUCAGUGUUUAGGGAACCAGGCAGCAAUUGUUCUGAAGUCUGGCAUUGCAGAAAGAGCCUUGAUAAUGAGGUCUACAGAAGACGAUUCCUCCUGACAGGCCCACAAUGACCUAGAAAUCCUACUUAAUUCCCUGUCAGUGAGAAGUGCUGAGUAACAGCGAGGUGCAGAGGCACUGGGGGGCCCGAUUUGAGAGGGAUGCUGCAGCCUCUGUUCACACUUUGGGGUGUGAUGCAAGAGCUCUAGGGUGGAAAAAGCCAGCACCGCUCAGCUAUGCAGCACCUCCCCAGAUAAAGCAGAGGGGAGGCUCGCCAGGCAGAUAGACAGGGGUUUGCUACGGGAAGGUGUGUAGCCUCAUCUGUAAAAGGCUUGCCACCACACAGAGCAUGCAGAGCGCUGAGAGCAGAAAUCUCUGUUUAACGCAACAGUAGAGACAGAAGUAGGCACUUGGAAACAGCCUGGCGCUAGCUAGGGCUCCUCUGAAGCAGCACCUGGAUGCGGUCUUCUCAUAGGCAUUGUCUCCUCUGGAUGAUGCCUGCUUGCAAACUGUGCCAAAACCCUGCCCAAGGCUUUAACUCCGCGACUCAAAUAGCUCAACUUUUUACCUAUGUUCCUAGGCCUAGAGUGCCUUACCAACUUCAUCUGUGCAGCUACCGCUGCUGCCAACAGAGACUGUGGUACGUACUACCGCGGACGCAGCAUCUCCCGCCACGGACUAGAGUUGUGCGGGUGCUGCCUCCUUUCACGGGGAUGUGGGAUGAGCAGCGGCUCUCCGCCGCACCAGGCAGCGCGCGUGCCUCGGAGGUGUUGUUGAGCUUUUUUGACGCAUUCUGCCCCAACCGCUUUUCCCCGUCUCCUUGGAGGAAAAUGCAGCAGGCUGGCACAGGCUCGGGCCGCAGACACGGUGCUUUCAAGUGGUUUGUUUUCGACAAGCGGCGUGUGUACCAUGGUUAGGAACCUCUGGGCUGGAUGGCCCAGAGCCAGCUAGGCCAGAAGAUGAGGUACUCAGCUGGAAUGCGGGCUGGAUACGGCUGACCUUGAAGACCACCCCCAGUAAAGACCCUUACAGGCAUGUGCUUGCCACCUGUUUCAGCCAGCAGACGAGGGACUAAAGCAGGAAUUCUGGAACUGAAUGCACAGUCUGUUACAGAGUGGUCUGAAGACUCCCACCCACGUGAAGCUGUCGCUGAUGCGUGCUCUCUUACAGACCCUUGCAGAGGAAUGCAUCUUUGCCCAUCACGUGCAAGACUGCUACUCCCAUACUGCAAAUGCAGCCCUGUUUAAAGUACAGCUCAAAUCCGCAAAGGACCGCUGUAAAAAAAGAAACGUGGAAAUGAAAUCACCAGCCGAAACAGUGUCUAGAGGCAGCUCAAGCCAAGUCCCUCGAAUGUCAGCACCAGAAGGAGGGUUCUGAAAUGGAGAACCUCGCUCACUCUGCACCGGCUCUGCUGGCACAGACAGAGGAUCUGCCUCAGAGACAUGAGGAAAAGACAUAUGCUGAGAAAGGAAGGACCAGCUUUAUUUUACCAGCCUGUGUUCCCACCAGAGAUGUGCUUUAAAGACUGCCUUGCAAAGUAGGAAUUAAAUCCAAAGGUGCCUAUGCAUCUUCCUUGCUGUCAUCCCCUUAUCAGUUAUCUCCAGCCUGCUCUGAGCCAGAAGAUGAAAGGAUCGUAACACCACUUAUCUUCCCACUUAAGAACAUGCUUAACAGCUUGCUGUUAAAGAGGAGGACACUCGAGCCUCGGGAAGCAGCUGUAAAUUCUGCAAAUGGGUUCCCUCGCAUUUCUUUAAAGGAGCUACUGCUUCUCAAUGAGGGACACAGAUAGGAAAAGGAAACCAGAGAGGGAGGAAAAGAGGGAAGGAAGCCUUUGUAGCAAAGAAAGACUUUGCCUCACAUCCAUGAAGCUGAGUGACAGAUGUGAGACGUACGGCAUGUGUGUCUCAGAAGUGACCGAGGAUAAGCCAGGAAUUGAAAAGCUCUCGGGAAAUAUUUAAGCAGCCAGAAUGAUGACAUGUUUGUCAGUAGACCACAAGAAGCUCCAAAAACACGCUCGCCUCGAGACUGUGCAGUGUUACAGCCAAGAAGGUUAGGGAUCCCCUUACAUGCUGCAGGCAGAACUGCUGCAUGCAACCCAGCUCCGGCUCUAACAGUUGAGGCCAGGUCACUGCACGUCCUCUGGGUCUCUCCCACAGAGCCUGCUGCCUCGUCUCUGAAUUUGACCCUCGUCUCCCCUCUUUGUAGAGCUACUCGUUGUCACGGUGAACCUGGGUCCAGCUUGCCUUUGUCAUUUACCAGCUGAGUCAAACUGUCAGAACAGCCAAACAGGAUCUGUUCCAAAUAUUUGCAGAAAGAGGAGGAUCAAGGAGCCUGCAGCAGAACACCAGGAGCCUCCCCGGGCAAGGAGAACAAUCACUAUUGUUGACCAACAGCGGGCUGCCGGUGGGCGACGAGCACGCCUUGGCGCAAUGUCGGGAAAAAGCCCCCGAGUCCUCCCAUGCUCACAGAGCACCGCAAGUGAACUGGGAUCUCUGGCAAAGCCCCAGCGAUCCAGCACUGCAGACUUAUCAGCCCUGCUCGCAGCUCAGCUGUUGACUUGGAGAACUCAAGGCGCAGUUGGCAACUGGGGGGGGGGGGGGGGGGACUGGAGUGCCUUAGAAGCUGCUGCCAGCCCAAAUGUAGGCUUCAAAGGGCUUAUCCUGCCCUGUUGUGUGGGAGAGCAUGUAGUGCCUGUGGAUGAGGACAGCUGUGUGUCGGCCAGGCCCACCAGAGGAUUUCUGAUGGAAGAAGAGAGAAGUUAGUACCUGGUUUAACCUCCCCUCCAGCACGCACAAGGCAGCUUUGGCAAGCAGAGCUCCACGCUGCCCUGUUAUUUAUGGGAUGUUGAAAACUGGCCAAAACGAAGGGAAAACACCAGAUACGUAAGGAUGCUUACCAACUCAAAUAGCCAGUUCUGCUUGACCCAUGAGACAGACCCAGGAAGCGAUUACAAGGCACUCUGCCUUUCAUCUCCAGAUCGCCAGUUCAAAGGCAACUCCAUCAGCACUAACCAAGCUGUAGCCAUUAUUGGCUAUUUGCUCAUGCACAAGAAACGAGAUAAGCCGUUGCCUCCUUGCUCCCUGAGAAAUCAGACCAGCCCCAUCGAUGUACACUACACGCAAUCUCAGCGGAGUAGCUAAGACCAAAGAGGGAAACAAACCAGCACCGCCUCUGCUGUAGGAGCUCCUAGAUCAACAAGGAGAUCCAUGAUGAUUGAAGCUAACUUGUUUCAUGGCACAUGUGUCCAGUCCUGUCAGCAAAGCACAGAGCGUUCACGCUAAUAGGGAGCUGCGUAUUACUCCUUCCACCUUGGUUGUCGGUAUCUAAACACCUCAACAAAACCAACCCACUCUUCCAAGGACGGGGGAGUCCCACUGGCCGGGGAAGUCAGGGCUGGUCCAGAGGUACAAGUCACUGUUGUUCAGAGAGCGGGGACUUCCCCUUCUAAGGUAUGUAACUGAUGCACAGGACCUGGCUACUACAGAAGGGAUGUUUUCCAGGCUCUAAAAAUAACUAACCCCAAACAACAUGGUGGGUAUAAAGAAAUAUUUAUCUUUGGGCUUUCGCAGAGAUCGAAGCAGAAGAAAAAGAUUAAAGCAAAGAUUUAAGUGGGUAUUAAAAAUAGCGGUUGAUAAGAUCCUUUGAGGGGAUAAAAGCUAUUUUACAGAAGCAGCAAGAACUGCAGGACUUCGCAACACCUUCCCUGCCGUUAAGUGUGUAAGCUCCCGGAAAUCAUUCAAGAGAGUGUUAGCAGCCAGAGCGCCUCAGGAGGAAGUCCAUUAGCAGGCAGCAAUCUCCUUAAUGGACCCUCGGGGUAUGUGGUAGACGCUGCCUUGCCUUUGGACGCUCGGUUCUUUCCACUGCUGUGAUUCAAGGGCUGCUCACGCAGCCAUUAUCAUCCAAUACUCUAAGGAAUGCUCCUCAUCUUUAUGGCAGCCCGGUAGCGCGAUGAAUUAGUCUUUUGGGUAGCUUUCAUUGAGUGAGGACACAAAUUGGUAUACUGAGUUUUUUGUUUCUUUCUGAGAGCCCCUAGCGAAGACAGACGCUGAUCUGUGAACAGAAGCCAUACAUGCUACUGUACCGCAGGUAAAAGCGGUAACAUCUAUCAAGGCCUUUGUUUUCCAAGGAUAACACCCUAGCAAAACAAAAAUACCGUCUCCAUGGCUGAUCUUGCCCUAAAAGAUCAAGCAGAGCCUUGUACACUGACGUGCAGACAAAAUCAUUAAGUCCUCAGCUGUGUAACUGACGCCACUCAAGCAGGUCUGAGAGAGCACGCAGCCGCCCCGGAGAGAUUCGAAGUGGCAGGAACCUUUCCACUGGGAAUGAAAAGCAGGACUGCUAGGCAGAGCACUCACUACUGGCUCUGUUAAAAGUUGCCUGGUUUGGAACACGCACCAAAAGCGAUUUCCUUCAAUACCCAAUGCAGCAGAGAAAAAGCUUUGACAAGACACUUAAGAACUGCAGAGGAACACCCUCUCUAGACCUUGCUUCUUGCAUAUUAGUGAUUUUUCUAAGAAAUUGGAAAGCCUGGCUUAGGAUGCUGCUCUAAUAAGAACUGGGCACCAGCUCAAUUAUGCAGCUGUCUUGGUUUUGCACUUCCAAGCUGUGUGUUAAGACAGCUGAACUUCUGCACAGGAGUCACACAAAGCUUUCUUACAGUAUGAAAUGCAGCAAGGCAAUCAAAGUUAGCGACUGCUGAGGAAGAAGUGGUAACAGAACCUCAGCUGGCCAUUCCUGUGCAGGAAACAUCUUUAAUAUACACCUCCCUCAACAUUUAUCCCCUGAGGAAGCCUGCUUGACCUCCGCUUACCUAAAUGAGAAGCAGAAGUUUGUGAGGAGUUGGUUGUCCUUAAGACCAAAGUCGACGGAGUGCCUUGCUGUCCUGUUCCCCACAGAUGUACUCUUUCGCUGAAAAGGACUCUUGAGGACUCAGGAUCCUGUUGGUCUGUGGAAAUCUUUCCCCUUGCUAACUCCCUCCCACCACUUCAGGCCUGCUCUGUAAGGAGUUCACGAACCUUCUCCGGAUCAUCGGGGCUUGAUGCAAUCAACUGUGAAGCAUUAGCUCUAAAUAUACAACUGGGAGGCCAGUUCUGCUUCAAACACACAAAGGCUCAUCGCAAAGGAUGCUAAAGCAGUGAGCGCAAUUUGCAAGAGAAACUUAAAUAAUAAUCCAAGUCAGCUGCAAGGAAAGCAGGAGCAAGUGGGGGCUAAGCAAUGUUUUACCCUUUGGAGAUGGCUAAAGUUAGGGGCAAACUGGCAGGAGCCUCAGAAAGCCGACCCACCCACAGCCGUUAUGUGGAGCAGCUUUUGUCCUUAUUUGUGAAGCUAAAUGCAGAAGCUCAUUCCGCUUUAUUUACUUGUUUAGGUGAUUUUUGGCAGCUCACCCUAUGUUCCUGGUGCAAAUCCUCAGUGCGUGGACAGAUAAUUGAAAAACAGCUGCAGCGGGCCGAGAGACCCAGAAUUCAACUUGUACAAGGAAAACAAACAGGAAAUACUUGAGAGUUUUGGGAAGGUCUCUCCCAAAAAGGUCUUGGGACAGCUCUGCCCUCAGUCCAGCAUGUGAAGUCCUCAAAAUCCAAAUGCCCAUUUCCACGGGGAAGCUUGCAACAGAGACCUCAAGGCCAGAUUCAACGGGACACUUAGGCACUGCUCCCAUAACAGAGGAAGGAAAUGGGGUACCUCUCUGCCUUGCAGCCCAACUGUAAGGAAAAGUUGUGUUAAGUAAGUCUGUCAUUUUUCUCAUUCAAAGGGAGCAUCCGAAUCCAGGGUUAGCACCUGGAAGACUCUGUGAUGCUCCAGGAUCAGGCCCUCCCAAUUUCUCUUGCUGAAACUGUUUCUGCUACAAACCACAGUAAAGCAAGUGAACAACAGACCCUGGAGUGCGUGACAACCAUCUCCUCGUUGUGGAUGAGCAUCAGAGUCGUCUUCUCGCCCCUCCGCUCACCUUUUUGGUAAAUAGUGCCCAAAUCUCACCUUAUUUGAGGCCCGAGAGGCUCUGCAAGUUAUUUGGAGUCAUUGGAGAUUUGUUUUGUCCUUGGAUAAACUGUCUGAAAUAUUUCAAUACACUUCAGUCUUGAGUUGA